AACGCGAAGAACCUUACCUACUCUUGACAUCCACGGAAUUUAGCAGAGAUGCCUUAGUGCCUUCGGGAACCGUGAGACAGGUGCUGCAUGGCUGUCGUCAGCUCGUGUUGUGAAAUGUUGGGUUAAGUCCCGCAACGAGCGCAACCCUUAUCCUUUGUUGCCAGCGAUUCGGUCGGGAACUCAAAGGAGACUGCCGGUGAUAAACCGGAGGAAGGUGGGGAUGACGUCAAGUCAUCAUGGCCCUUACGAGUAGGGCUACACACGUGCUACAAUGGCGCAUACAAAGAGAAGCGACCUCGCGAGAGCAAGCGGACCUCAUAAAGUGCGUCGUAGUCCGGAUCGGAGUCUGCAACUCGACUCCGUGAAGUCGGAAUCGCUAGUAAUCGUGGAUCAGAAUGCCACGGUGAAUACGUUCCCGGGUCUUGUACACACCG
This 434-nucleotide ribosomal RNA is filed under the name Pantoea ananatis. RNAcentral's name for it is "bacterial SSU rRNA". It matches the Rfam family "Bacterial small subunit ribosomal RNA", at positions 958 to 1392 of the family's 1533-position model. The record is from RNAcentral. Lineage: Bacteria; Pseudomonadati; Pseudomonadota; Gammaproteobacteria; Enterobacterales; Erwiniaceae.